GACGCUGACUUACCAGUAGCAACACGUUUCGGAGCUGACUUCUAGCACAUUGAUGCAAUUGCAGGCAGUAAAAAUGAGCUAACUGGACGUUAGUAACGUACAGCUAUAAACGCUCAGCGUCUGUCUGUUACGUCAGAACUGUGACACUGGUCUCCUAGACGCUGGCGUCUUUAAAGAAACACAGAAUUCGAUCUCUCUGGCAGUAAAAAUGAGCUAACUGGACGUUAGUAACGUACAGCUAUAAACGCUCAGCGUCUGUCUGUUACGUCAGAACUGUGACGCUGGUCUCCUAGACGCUGGCGUCUUUAAAGAAACACAGAAUGCGAUCUCUCUGGUAAGUAAUCCUUUUAUUAUUAUGAAAG
Molecule: long non-coding RNA, 362 nt
Organism: Mercenaria mercenaria
Lineage: Eukaryota; Metazoa; Mollusca; Bivalvia; Venerida; Veneridae
Exons: 3
Source: RefSeq, a predicted model, not a curated record